Molecule: transfer RNA, 85 nt
Filed under: Alistipes sp.
Lineage: Bacteria; Pseudomonadati; Bacteroidota; Bacteroidia; Bacteroidales; Rikenellaceae
Also listed under: 2 other names
Description: tRNA-Leu
Rfam family: tRNA
About the family: Transfer RNA (tRNA) molecules are approximately 80 nucleotides in length. Their secondary structure includes four short double-helical elements and three loops (D, anti-codon, and T loops).
Source: RNAcentral
GCGGAUAUGGCGUAAUUGGUAGCCGCGCCAGACUUAGGAUCUGGUGCCUCACGGCGUGGGGGUUCGAGUCCCUUUAUCCGCACGA